ACCCGCUGAACUUAAGCAUAUCAAUAAGCGGAGGAAAAGAAACCAACAGGGAUUGCCCCAGUAACGGCGAGUGAAGCGGCAACAGCUCAAAUUUGAAAUCUGGUCCCCUUGCGGGGCCCGAGUUGUAAUUUGAAGAGGAUGCUUCUGGCAAGGUGCCUUCCGAGUUCCCUGGAACGGGACGCCGCAGAGGGUGAGAGCCCCGUACGGUAGGACGCCGAGCCUCUGUGAAGCUCCUUCGACGAGUCGAGUAGUUUGGGAAUGCUGCUCAAAAUGGGAGGUAAACCCCUUCUAAAGCUAAAUACCGGCCAGAGACCGAUAGCGCACAAGUAGAGUGAUCGAAAGAUGAAAAGCACUUUGAAAAGAGAGUUAAAAAGCACGUGAAAUUGUUGAAAGGGAAGCGCUUGCGACCAGACUCGCGCCCGUCGGAUCAGCCGUCGCUUGUCGGCGGCGCACUCCGGCGGGCUCGGGCCAGCAUCAGUUCGCCUCGGGGGGAGAAAGGCGGCAGGAAUGUGGCUCCUCGGAGUGUUAUAGCCUGCCGUGUAAUACCCCCGGGCGGACUGAGGACCGCGCGUAUGCAAGGAUGCUGGCGUAAUGGUCGUCAGCGACCCGUCUUGAAACACGGACCAAGGAGUCGUCCUAAUAUGCGAGUGUACGGGUGUCAAACCCCUGCGCGUAAUGAAAGUGAACGGAGGUGAGAGCUUCGGCGCAUCAUCGACCGAUCCUGAUGUUCUCGGAUGGAUUUGAGUAAGAGCAUAUUGGGCCGGACCCGAAAGAAGGUGAACUAUGCCUGUGUAGGGUAAAGCCAGAGGAAACUCUGGUGGAGGCUCGCAGCGGUUCUGACGUGCAAAUCGAUCGUCAAACAUGGGCAUGGGGGCGAAAGACUAAUCGAACCUUCUAGUAGCUGGUUUCUGCCGAAGUUUCCCUCAGGAA
This 930-nucleotide small RNA is filed under the name Microascus chartarum. RNAcentral describes it as "eukaryotic LSU rRNA". It matches the Rfam family "Eukaryotic large subunit ribosomal RNA", at positions 23 to 979 of the family's 3401-position model. Lineage: Eukaryota; Fungi; Ascomycota; Sordariomycetes; Microascales; Microascaceae. The record is from RNAcentral.